This is an RNA transcript of Solanum dulcamara, 1371 nucleotides long. It is a transcript of the gene named ATP-dependent Clp protease ATP-binding subunit CLPT1, chloroplastic-like, with no coding region annotated. Lineage: Eukaryota; Viridiplantae; Streptophyta; Magnoliopsida; Solanales; Solanaceae. The transcript has 7 exons. The record is from RefSeq and is a predicted model, not a curated record.
GUCUGAGCUCGGCCCAACUACCUCUGCUUCAAGAGUGUUAUCUUUCCUUUCACAGCUCUAUCCACCUCAGUUGAAGCUUGUACGCUUCUUCGUACAUUGUUAAUCAGCACAUUUAUAACAGCUACAAACUACCAAAUUCUGUGCAGAAGAAGAAAGAAUCAAAUAAUUUUCUCUACUCUUUUACUUCAAUUUUAGGGUUUUUGGGUAUUCCAAUGGCGACUCACAGUUUUUCAUUACUUUCAAUCCAGUCUUUAACUUCCAAUUCUACCAACAGACUAAGUGAUAAUACUAAUACUUUUUUAACCCACAAGUAUUGUAAAGCUUUAGCUACUACUUUUACCGGCGGAAAGCUCUUGAUUCGGCCGCAGAAUUUGAACGAUUAUACCCUCAAACGUCGUCGUUCUACAGUAGCAACGGUUGCCUUCAGCCUCCCUACUACGAAAUCAGAGAGAGCUGCUUCUGAGAAACAGCCCAAAUGGUCGGCAAGAGCAAUACAGGCAUUUGUAAUGGCUGAAUUAGAAGCAAGGAAGCUCAAGUACCCAAAUACUGGCACUGAAGCUCUUUUAAUGGGAAUCUUGGUUGAAGGGACCAGUUUGGCUGCCAAGUUUUUGAGAGCAAAUGGUGUAACCUUUCUCAAGGUGAGUGACGAAACAGUGAAGUUGCUUGGAAGAUCCGACUUGUAUUUUUUCAGUCCAGAGCAUCCUCCCCUCACUAAACCAGCUCAAAAGGCUCUUGACUGGGCAGUCAAUGAGAAACUGAAAUCAGGUGAAGAUGGGGAAGUUACUGUCGCACAUAUGGCUCUUGGUAUUUGGUCAGUAAAGGAAUCAGCUGGGCAUAGAAUAAUGGCUACACUUGGUUUUGAUGACGAGAAGGCUAAAGAGCUGGCCAAAUUUAUGGACAAGGACAUUGAGCUUUCGUAUAAAUAACUAUUAUUGGAGGCACAAUCAUUUGAUGCAUCCUUCCAUCACAAUCUUCAGCUAGUUUCUCCUGCAGAAGAGCUUAGUAACAAAUGUUCAUGGCCUUGUACACAGAAUGCUCGGUGAUUCGAGUGCCUGGGGAACUAAACUACAACUUGAUAUUUUCAGUUUACUGAUUGAAAUUUGAUCCAGUAAUACAAGUGCCUAAUAUUUUAGUUUGAACACUUUAUUUCAUCUUGGAAUAGUAAAUUCUGAACAGAAGUCACAGGCUUACAUUUUCUCGUAUUCUCACCCACUAUAGCUUUAUGAAUGGUUGUAGACAAUGAUAACAAUUCCUCGACAGUCAGCAUCGGCAGGCAAUUCGACAUCAUGGAAUGAUAGUGGGUUGGUUUUGAUGUUUUGUCCUCUUAAGAAAAGUCUAAUAGACAUGGCCUUUCAUAAGGGUUGAUCUUGA